AAGAGAAUGAUUAAACAAUUAAAAGCUUUCUUUAAUUGAAUAAUUGAAUUUAAUUUUUUAGUGCAAAAGCAAAAAUAAAAAUUAGGGACAAGAAGACCCUAUGAAUUUUUUAUUAAAUUUUAUAAAACUUUAUAUAAAAUUUAAUUUAAUUGGGGUGAUGGAAAAAGAAUAAAUAUCUUUUUUUUAAAAAAAAAUUGGUUCCGUUUUUAGCGAUUAAAUGAAAAAAAUACUCUAGGGAUAACAGCGUAAUAAUUUUGGAUAGUUCAUAUAGAUAAAAUAGUUUGCGACCUCGAUGUUGGAUUAGGAUUCUUUUUUGGUGAAGAAGUUAAAAAAAGAAGUUUGUUCAACUUAUAAUUUCCU
This 360-nucleotide ribosomal RNA is filed under the name Ixodes ricinus (castor bean tick). Its description in RNAcentral is "partial large subunit ribosomal RNA". The stretch from base 237 to 360 matches the Rfam family "Bacterial large subunit ribosomal RNA", at positions 2473 to 2597 of the family's 2925-position model. The record is from RNAcentral. Lineage: Eukaryota; Metazoa; Arthropoda; Arachnida; Ixodida; Ixodidae.